GGGGCUGUAGCUCAGUGGCAGAGCUUACCUUGCAUGUGUGAGGCACCAAGUUCGAUCCUCAGCACCA
Molecule: transfer RNA, 67 nt
Filed under: Marmota monax (woodchuck)
Lineage: Eukaryota; Metazoa; Chordata; Mammalia; Rodentia; Sciuridae
Description: tRNA.Cys
Source: RNAcentral